RNAcentral lists this ribosomal RNA (422 nucleotides) under uncultured bacterium. Its description in RNAcentral is "partial 16S ribosomal RNA". It matches the Rfam family "Bacterial small subunit ribosomal RNA", at positions 360 to 774 of the family's 1533-position model. The record is from RNAcentral.
AAUUUUGGACAAUGGGGGAAACCCUCAUCCAGCCAUCCCGCGUGUAUGAUGAAGGCCUNUGGGUUNUNAAGUACUUUUCGCAGAGNCGAAAAGGUAUCUCCUAAUACGAGAUACGGCUGACGGUAUCUGCAGAAUCAGCACCGGCCAACUACGUGCAAGCAGCCGCGGUAAUACGUAGGGUGCAAGCGUUAAUCGGAAUUACUGGGCGUAAAACGUGUGUAAGCAGUUCGGAAAGAAAGAUGUGAAAACACAGGGCUCUACCUUGGAACUGCAUUUUUAACUGCCGAGCUAGAGUAUGUCAGAGGGGGGUAGAAUUCCACGUGUAGCAGUGAAAUGCGUAGAUAUGUGGAGGAAUACCGAUGGCGGAGGCAGCCCCCUGGGAUAAUACUGACGCUCAGACACGAAAGCGUGGGGAGCAAACA